This 301-nucleotide ribosomal RNA is filed under the name uncultured bacterium. RNAcentral describes it as "partial 16S ribosomal RNA". It matches the Rfam family "Bacterial small subunit ribosomal RNA", at positions 509 to 807 of the family's 1533-position model. The record is from RNAcentral.
CAGCCGCCGCGGGAAAACGGAGGGUGCAAGCGUUAAUCGGAAUUACUGGGCGUAAAGCGCACGCAGGCGGUCUGUCAAGUCAGAUGUGAAAUCCCCGGGCUUAACCUGGGAACUGCAUUUGAAACUGGCAGGCUAGAGUCUUGUAGAGGGGGGUAGAAUUCCAGGUGUAGCGGUGAAAUGCGUAGAGAUCUGGAGGAAUACCGAUGGCGAAGGCAGCCAUCUGGCCUAAUACUGACGCUGAGGUACGAAAGCAUGGGGAGCAAACAGGAUUAGAUACCCCGGUAGUCCCUGUCUCUUAUAC